CCUACGGGUGGCAGCAGUGGGGAAUAUUGCGCAAUGGGCGCAAGCCUGAUGCAGCAACGCCGCGUGAAGGAAGAAGGCUUUCGGGUUGUAAACUUCUUUUAUGAGGGACGAGCAAAAUACGGUUCCCCGUCAAUAAGCCACGGCUAACUACGGGCCAGCAGCCGCGGUAAUAAGGAGGGGGCAAGCGUUGUCCGGAUUUACUGGGUGUAAAGGGCGGGUAGACGGGAAGACAAGUCCGAUGUGAAAUCCCGGGGCUCAACCGCGGAACUGCAUUUGAAACUGUUUUUCUGGAGUUCCGGAGAGGUAAGCGGAAUUCCUUGUGUAGCGGUGAAAUGCGUAGAUAUAAGGAAGAACACCAGUGGCGAAGGCGGAUGACUGGACGGCAACUGACGGUGAGGCGCGAAAGCGUGGGGAGCAAACAGGAUUAGAUACCCGAGUAGUC
Molecule: ribosomal RNA, 442 nt
Filed under: uncultured bacterium
Lineage: Bacteria
Description: partial 16S ribosomal RNA
Rfam family: Bacterial small subunit ribosomal RNA
Source: RNAcentral